Molecule: ribosomal RNA, 372 nt
Filed under: uncultured organism
Description: bacterial SSU rRNA
Rfam family: Bacterial small subunit ribosomal RNA
Source: RNAcentral
CGUAGGAGACGAGCGUUAUCCGGAUUUACUGGGCGUAAAGCGUGUGCAGGCGGUUCGGCAAGUUGGAUGUGAAAUCUCCCGGCUCAACUGGGAGGGGUCGUUCAAUACUACCGAACUUGAGGUCAUCAGAGGAAGGUGGAAUUCCGGGUGUAGUGGUGAAAUGCGUAGAUAUCCGGAGGAACACCAGUGGCGAAGGCGGCCUUCUGGGAUGAUCCUGACGCUCAGACACGAAAGCUAGGGGAGCGAACGGGAUUAGAGACCCCGGUAGUCCUAGCUGUAAACGAUGUAGACUUGGCGUCGGAGGGUUCAAAACCUUCGGUGUCGUAGCUAACGCGAUAAGUCUACCGCCUGGGGACUACGGCCGCAAGGUUA